GAUGAACGCUGGCGGCGUGCUUAACACAUACAAGUCGAACGAGAAGUGGAGACGGAAACCUUCGGGCGGAAGACUUUAUUUCGAGUGGCGGACGGGUGAGUAACGCGUGGGUAACCUGCCUCAUACAGGGGGAUAACAGUUGGAAACGACUGUUAAUACCGCAUAAGACCACAGCACCGCAUGGUGCGGGGGUAAAAACUCCGGUGGUAUGAGAUGGACCCGCGUUCGAUUAGCCAGUUGGCGGGGUAACGGCCCACCAAAGCGACGAUCGAUAGCCGAUCUGAGAGGAUGACCGGCCACAUUGGGACUGAGACACGGCCCAAACUCCUACGGGAGGCAGCAGUGGGGAAUAUUGCACAAUGGGGGAAACCCUGAUGCAGCGACGCCGCGUGAGUGAAGAAGUAUUUCGGUAUGUAAAGCUCUAUCAGCAGGGAAGAAAAUGACGGUACCUGAGUAAGAAGCCCCGGCUAACUACGUG
RNAcentral lists this ribosomal RNA (478 nucleotides) under uncultured bacterium. RNAcentral describes it as "partial 16S ribosomal RNA". It matches the Rfam family "Bacterial small subunit ribosomal RNA", at positions 28 to 507 of the family's 1533-position model. The record is from RNAcentral.